CAGCAGCCGCGGGAAUACGAGGGGGGCAAGCGUUGUUCGGAAUUAUUGGGCGUAAAGGGUGCGUAGGCGGUUUGGCAAGUUUGGUGUGAAAUCUUCGGGCUCAACUCGAAGUCUGCAUCGAAAACUGCCGGGCUUGAGUAUGGGAGAGGUGAGUGGAAUUUCCGGUGUAGCGGUGAAAUGCGUAGAUAUCGGAAGGAACACCUGUGGCGAAAGCGGCUCACUGGACCAUAACUGACGCUGAUGCACGAAAGCUAGGGGAGCAAACAGGAUUAGAUACCCGAGUAGUCCCUGUCUCUUAUAC
This 301-nucleotide ribosomal RNA is filed under the name uncultured bacterium. RNAcentral's name for it is "partial 16S ribosomal RNA". It matches the Rfam family "Bacterial small subunit ribosomal RNA", at positions 509 to 807 of the family's 1533-position model. The record is from RNAcentral.